This 214-nucleotide ribosomal RNA is filed under the name uncultured Staphylococcus sp. Its description in RNAcentral is "partial 16S ribosomal RNA". It matches the Rfam family "Bacterial small subunit ribosomal RNA", at positions 126 to 334 of the family's 1533-position model. The record is from RNAcentral. Lineage: Bacteria; Bacillati; Bacillota; Bacilli; Caryophanales; Staphylococcaceae.
CUACCUAUAAGACUGGGAUAACUUCGGGAAACCGUAGCUAAUACCGGAUAAUAUUUUGAACCGCAUGGUUCAAAAGUGAAAGACGGUCUUGCUGUCACUUAUAGAUGGAUCCGCGCUGCAUUAGCUAGUUGGUAAGGUAACGGCUUACCAAGGCAACGAUGCAUAGCCGACCCGAGAGGGUGAUCGGCCACACUGGAACUGAGACACGGUCCAG